This 722-nucleotide ribosomal RNA is filed under the name uncultured Fusobacterium sp. RNAcentral describes it as "bacterial SSU rRNA". It matches the Rfam family "Bacterial small subunit ribosomal RNA", at positions 28 to 776 of the family's 1533-position model. Lineage: Bacteria; Fusobacteriati; Fusobacteriota; Fusobacteriia; Fusobacteriales; Fusobacteriaceae. The record is from RNAcentral.
GAUGAACGAUGACAGAAUGCUUAACACAUGCAAGUCAACUUGAACUUUGGUUUGGGUGGCGGACGGGUGAGUAACGCGUAAAGAACUUGCCUCACAGAUAGGGACAACAUUUGGAAACGAAUGCUAAUACCUGAUAUUAUGAUUUUAGGGCAUCCUAGAAUUAUGAAAGCUAUAUGCGCUGUGAGAGAGCUUUGCGUCCCAUUAGCUAGUUGGAGAGGUAACGGCUCACCAAGGCGAUGAUGGGUAGCCGGCCUGAGAGGGUGAUCGGCCACAAGGGGACUGAGACACGGCCCUUACUCCUACGGGAGGCAGCAGUGGGGAAUAUUGGACAAUGGACCAAGAGUCUGAUCCAGCAAUUCUGUGUGCACGAUGAAGUUUUUCGGAAUGUAAAGUGCUUUCAGUUGGGAAGAAAAAAAUGACGGUACCAACAGAAGAAGUGACGGCUAAAUACGUGCCAGCAGCCGCGGUAAUACGUAUGUCACAAGCGUUAUCCGGAUUUAUUGGGCGUAAAGCGCGUCUAGGUGGUUAUAUAAGUCUGAUGUGAAAAUGCAGGGCUCAACUCUGUAUUGCGUUGGAAACUGUGUAACUAGAGUACUGGAGAGGUAAGCGGAACUACAAGUGUAGAGGUGAAAUUCGUAGAUAUUUGUAGGAAUGCCGAUGGGGAAGCCAGCUUACUGGACAGAUACUGACGCUGAAGCGCGAAAGCGUGGGUAGCAAACAGG